AUUAGUGAGGAAUCAGUCCAGACAGGUGGAAAAGACAGCAUCCUGCCCUAUAACCAGGAGGAAUAGUGACCAUUAAGGAGUAAAAGUGUGUAGAAGGAAUGAACAUGUUACACAGCCUAUGGUGAAAGAAGCAAGAUUCAAGAUUGUGAAAACACUGAGGUGCUCUAGAAGAAUUGAAUUCUUCCCAAGUUCUCGGCAUUAAAGCCUAUAUCCAGCAAAGCAGCUCAGCAGAUACUUAGCUGCUUCAGAUUACUAAAUGCAUCCUUCAAUACCACAGGACUCCUUUCCUCGGAGAUACCAGACAGGAGCAGGUGCUGGCAGGAGAGAAAGAUAUUAUUGCUGGACUGGGGAAAUUUUGUCAGCUUUUCAAAUGUAUAAAUGUUUUCCAUUGGCAUUUGUCAAACCUUUGUAUACCUGAGAUGAGGUCAUGAGAGGAUCUAGGAUUUUGAAAAGAAGCGUACAGAUAGUGUGGCAUGUCAUCAUAUAUAAACACAAUGCACAUUUUUGUCCAAUUAAAGCAAAACUAGAAACCUUACUAAUAUGCUAGCACUAGGUUAUUCAGUUUAAGAUUAAACCAAAAACCAACAUAACUAUUGGAACGAGUACUAAUUUACUAGUUUAUAUAUUAAGUUAAAAAAACACAACAAACUAGGCAAAAAAUAGUUAAAAUAAUCAAAAGAUAUUUUGUCCUGUAGUCAUUACAGUUAAAGUAUGUCUUUUAUUUAGAUUUAGAUUUAUAAAACAAAACCUAGCCUUCUUUAGUGUCUUGACAGUGCCUCUGAUACUUCACUGCUAGACAUUCCUACACCUGAGUUAAUA
This is a long non-coding RNA of Alligator sinensis (Chinese alligator), 819 nucleotides long. RefSeq lists it as uncharacterized. The transcript has 4 exons. The record is from RefSeq and is a predicted model, not a curated record. Lineage: Eukaryota; Metazoa; Chordata; Crocodylia; Alligatoridae.